This 442-nucleotide ribosomal RNA is filed under the name uncultured bacterium. RNAcentral describes it as "partial 16S ribosomal RNA". It matches the Rfam family "Bacterial small subunit ribosomal RNA", at positions 338 to 795 of the family's 1533-position model. The record is from RNAcentral.
CCUACGGGUGGCGGCAGUGGGGAAUAUUGGGCAAUGGGCGCAAGCCUGACCCAGCAACGCCGCGUGAAGGAAGAAGGCUUUCGGGUUGUAAACUUCUUUUAAGGGGGAAGAGCAGAAGACGGUACCCCUUGAAUAAGCCACGGCUAACUACGUGCCAGCAGCCGCGGUAAUACGUAGGUGGCAAGCGUUGUCCGGAUUUACUGGGUGUAAAGGGCGUGCAGCCGGAGAGACAAGUCAGAUGUGAAAUCCACGGGCUCAACCCGUGAACUGCAUUUGAAACUGGCAAACUGGAGUGUGUGAGAGGAUAGUGGAAUUCCAGGUGUAGGAGUGAAAUCCGUAGAUAUCUGGAGGAACAUCAGUGGCGAAGGCGACUAUCUGGCACAUAACUGACGCUGAGGAGCGAAAGCGUGGGUAGCAAACAGGAUUAGAUACCCCUGUAGUC